Molecule: non-coding RNA, 2706 nt
Organism: Physcomitrium patens
Lineage: Eukaryota; Viridiplantae; Streptophyta; Bryopsida; Funariales; Funariaceae
Source: RefSeq, a predicted model, not a curated record
CAAAGGGUGACUUCUCGUCGUGGUUCUCGUCUAAAUUGUCCGUUGCUGCCAAUUUGUAUGAGAGAAUGAGAGCUCUGUCUACUCGCUAUGCUGCCGCCGUGGAGCAGCUUUGAUAUGAGCCAAUUUGGACGCAGCGAAAAGGUUUUUUUUUUCCUUAUUGGAGUUAUUUGCUUCAGCUUAGAUUCUUACUUGAUUGACUUUCAGAUUUGAGGUGCACUGGUGAUCGAAUAGGAGAAGGAGACGAGCGUCAAGUUUGGGCGGAUUUGAAGGAUUCGACUCUCUCAGGGUUGAGUUUCUGCGUGUGUAGUGGCUGUUAAUUCUUCAGUUGCAAGGGGUGAAGAAAGGGUCGAGUACAGAGGAUGGAGUUAUGUCUGUGAAGUGUGUGUCUGAGAGUUAUAAUUGGGCUUGAAUUCGGUGCAGAGUGUUAAUUUUGUAUGUGCAAGUUCGAUGUGUUGGAGCUUGGAAGCUCAAUAGGGCAAGGCUGUGGACACCGUAAACCAGCAUCCAGCUCGCCAAAUUUGGGGCUAUGGCGCUGGUCAUGAAUUCUCAUCGCUUGGAGCACACGUUAAGCGCAUUGAUGAUUCAAUUACGGAGACCAUACUGUGCGCGGAGAACGUCUUUGGAGAAUGUGUUCGUUCCCUCGGCAGUGAAUCUUUCCAGCUUGGAAGUUCCGUUCUAAGGUUCUGGGGUCGAGAAUAACUUCAGUAUGCCAGAUGUCUACGCCUCUGCUACGCCUAAGUGAUGGAGUGCGCUUGUUUGCUUACAGAAUUAUACAUUUCUCAGCUGCUGCUUAUGGUGUGGUACGUCUGAGCCUUACCAACCGAUUUAGAAUAUGUGCUCUAGGUAUGAGAUCCCUGGUACAAUUAUGACUGGUUGAUUGAUUAUCGAUCUUUUCGGGGAAUUAUGAUCUCUUUAUCCGUAGCGUGUGAGACUUGCAUUUAAGUGAUUAUGAACGCCUCGGGCUUUUAGAACCAGGGGCUACAAUUUUUCGUACUUGUCUUUCUUUUUGAGCUGUCUUCAAAGCGCAGCGGGAGGAGAAGAGAAACUUGCAAUGCAACUUGCAAGUGUGUUGUGAAUAUUAGCAAUAUUUUCUGGCGGUAUUUAAAAUAGCAUGUCCCUAAAAUGCACGUAUUUGAGGCUAUUAUGUUCUGAAUAUGUCAAGCUAUGGAGGUUAGCUAUUGACUCCUGUUCUGCUAUCUUUCCAGAAAGUUCAUUAACGCGGUGAGUGUUGGUAAAAGCUCCUAAAUUAUAUGGCUGGGUCUAUGCUGAACGAGUUUAAGUUUCGGGGACCUUGCAAAAAAUCUUGGUGCAAUGGCUUCAUACUCAGCGUACUGAUGGGCGGCUUACUUGGCCUAGGUGGCUUGAGGGUAGGAACUCUGCGAUUGUUUUCCUGUCAUAUUAAACAGUUCCGCUAAAUUUUUUUGAGCUUCAAUAUAGUGGGUCUUGUGUGUAGACGAACUUACUUUUUGUUCCGAAUUUGAAAGUGCUAAGGCGUGGUCUUUGCUAGAGAGAUGUCUUUUGAAUCUGAUGGCUGGAUUUGUAUGCUAGGGAAAAUUGUUUCCGUUCAUUUUUAUUUAUAUUUUUGUUCGCGAAGACAAUUGCGACUGAGCAGGUUGUGCUGAUCAUCGAUUGUCACCAGUGUAGGUCAUCACUGCGUGCUAGUUAAACAGGUGAUAGAAUCCAUCACGCCGCUUUUGGUUAGUUAUAAUCUUAAGUACGAUGGCGAUAGAGGUAGAUUCCAUAACUAAGUCAGCAGAAAUAUGCAUUAAACUUGCAAGGUUAUAUAUGCUUAUUCUCGUUUAGAAAAGUGGUAGGUCAUAAAUACUUUCCAAUCUACAAUAGAAACAGAAGCUAAGCAUUAUAAGCUAUCAGUUAUCACGAUGGGAUCAAUGUUCUAAGUUGUGUGAGGAAGCUACCAUGUUUCAUAUUUCGUAAUUGGGAUUGUGAGCGACGUUGGCAUUCUAAGUGCUGACAGUGUGGAUGAUUGGUUUGAUAGUUAGAAAUUCCAUUUCUCUGCUACGGGAGUUGUAGUUGCCUUCCAUUUCUCUGCUACGAGAGUGGUGGUUUUUAGCAACUGGAUGGAGAAGAAAAGCUGCACAAGAACUUCCAUCUUUACAGGGCAGCCCUUUGUCUUACUGAUUCAUCACAGUCCCUGCUCUAGAAUCUUUCAUUUUUUUGCGAUUUGUUCUGUUGCCUGCUUUGCUUGGCAGGCAAAAAAUAUUUGCAGCCCAUGCUUCAAGUCAUCUUGCUCUUUUCAAGAGCCUGAGUUGUGGAUUGAAGGCACAAAUAAUUCCAACCAGUUCUUGCUCUUCUUCUUUGAAUAUUUCAUAGAGGUUGAGUCAAUCUAACCCUGUAUAGCCCAUUGUUAAAAUAUACUUCAUGCCGGCCUUUAACACCAUCUAUGCAGUUCGAUACUUCGUUAAGACUCUAUGCAGGUUAAUCAACUGGGAAAUGUAGGAGAUGAAUCACAUAUGCUAUCAACGGUAGUGGCUAUUGAAGAGGCGAUUGUUUCUCUUUGCUUUUAGAUUUACUGUUCAGGAAAAGGAUUUUAGCUGUAUGGUGCGGAUAACUAACAUUGAAGCUGUUGUAAUGUAUCUGUAGACAAGCCAGUUGAAGUCUUUAUUGUAAUUGAUCACUCUGAACUUGCACUUGCUCAAAAGUGGUUAUUAUAACCCUAUUAAUUGGUUGCUUACCUAAAUUCCAUCA